AGAGUUUGAUCCUGGCUCAGAUUGAACGCUGGCGGCAGGCCUAACACAUGCAAGUCGAGCGGAAACGAAGAGGUGCUUGCACCUCUGGCGUCGAGCGGCGGACGGGUGAGUAAUGCUUGGGAAUAUGCCUUAUGGUGGGGGACAACAGUUGGAAACGACUGCUAAUACCGCAUAAUGUCUACGGACCAAAGUGGGGGACCUUCGGGCCUCACGCCAUAAGAUUAGCCCAAGUGGGAUUAGCUAGUUGGUGAGGUAAUGGCUCACCAAGGCGACGAUCCCUAGCUGGUUUGAGAGGAUGAUCAGCCACACUGGGACUGAGACACGGCCCAGACUCCUACGGGAGGCAGCAGUGGGGAAUAUUGCACAAUGGGCGCAAGCCUGAUGCAGCCAUGCCGCGUGUGUGAAGAAGGCCUUCGGGUUGUAAAGCACUUUCAGUAAGGAGGAAAGGUUAAGUGUUAAUAGCACUUAGCUGUGACGUUACUUACAGAAGAAGCACCGGCUAACUCCGUGCCAGCAGCCGCGGUAAU
RNAcentral lists this ribosomal RNA (527 nucleotides) under gamma proteobacterium Md 240. Its description in RNAcentral is "bacterial SSU rRNA". It matches the Rfam family "Bacterial small subunit ribosomal RNA", at positions 8 to 524 of the family's 1533-position model. Lineage: Bacteria; Pseudomonadati; Pseudomonadota; Gammaproteobacteria. The record is from RNAcentral.